CCUANGGGAGGCAGCAGUAAGGAAUAUUGCUCAAUGGGAGAAAUCCUGAAGCAGCAACGCCGCGUGAAGGAUGAAGGGCUUUUGCUUGUAAACUUCUGUAGUGAGGGAAAAAACCUCCAUUUUAUGGAGUAUGAUGGUACCUCAAAAGUAAGCCCCGGCUAACUACGUGCCAGCAGCCGCGGUAAUACGUAGGGGGCAAACGUUGUCCGGAUUUACUGGGUGUAAAGGGUGGUCAGGCGGUCUUGUAAGUUAGAAGUGAAAUCCUAGAGCUUAACUCUGGAACUGCUUUUAAUACUGCAAGGCUUGAAUGUGGAAGAGGAGGAUGGAAUUUCUGGUGUAGCAGUGAAAUGCGUAGAUAUCAGAAAGAACACCAGUGGCGAAGGCGGUCCUCUGGUCCACUAUUGACGCUAAAGCACGAAAGCGUGGGGAGCAAACAGGAUUAGAUACCCUANUANUC
RNAcentral lists this ribosomal RNA (457 nucleotides) under uncultured bacterium. RNAcentral's name for it is "bacterial SSU rRNA". It matches the Rfam family "Bacterial small subunit ribosomal RNA", at positions 338 to 795 of the family's 1533-position model. The record is from RNAcentral.